Molecule: non-coding RNA, 107 nt
Organism: Gossypium hirsutum (cotton)
Lineage: Eukaryota; Viridiplantae; Streptophyta; Magnoliopsida; Malvales; Malvaceae
Source: Rfam
AUCCCAUGAUGAGGGCACUUACGAAGUAACUCCUUGAAUCGCUCCCAACCCUCAUACAAAGACUCGUCAGCUAGUUGCUGGAAAUUUGUGAUCUCGUUCCUAAACUU